UACAUGUGGGGCAAGCGUUGUUCGGAAUCACUGGGCAUAAAGGGUGCGUAGGCGGCUUGUUAAGUCAGGGGUGAAAUCCCACGGCCCAACCGUGGAACUGCCUUUGAAACUGGCGAGCUUGAGUGCGUGAGGGGUAACCGGAACGAGUCGUGUAGCGGUGAAAUGCGUAGAUAUGACUCGGAAGGCCAAAGGCGAAGGCAGGUUACUGGUACGCAACUGACGCUGAGGCGCGAAAGCUGGGGGAGCGAACGGG
This 253-nucleotide ribosomal RNA is filed under the name uncultured bacterium. Its description in RNAcentral is "partial 16S ribosomal RNA". It matches the Rfam family "Bacterial small subunit ribosomal RNA", at positions 524 to 776 of the family's 1533-position model. The record is from RNAcentral.